RNAcentral lists this ribosomal RNA (660 nucleotides) under Adustoporia sinuosa. Its description in RNAcentral is "eukaryotic LSU rRNA". The stretch from base 245 to 396 matches the Rfam family "5.8S ribosomal RNA". The record is from RNAcentral. Lineage: Eukaryota; Fungi; Basidiomycota; Agaricomycetes; Polyporales; Adustoporiaceae.
GAGGAAGUAAAAGUCGUAACAAGGUUUCCGUAGGUGAACCUGCGGAAGGUCAUUAAUGAAUUUUGAAAGGGGUUGUAGCUGGUCUUUUCCRAGACAUGGCACGCCCUGCUCAUCCAUUCUACCCCUGUGCACACUUCUGUAGGUCGGUUUGAAGCUGAUUCCUCACGGAAUUGCUCGGGCCUUCCUAUGUUUUCAUCAAACACUUUAAAGUCAAAGAAUGUAAUCGCGUGUAACGCAUUUAAUACACUUUCAGCAACGGAUCUCUUGGCUCUCGCAUCGAUGAAGAACGCAGCGAAUGCGAUAAGUAAUGUGAAUUGCAGAAUUCAGUGAAUCAUCGAAUCUUGAACGCACCUUGCGCUCCUUGGUAUUCCGAGGAGCAUGCCUGUUUGAGUUCAUGGAAUUCUCAACCCUCUUAUCUUUGUUAUGAGAUGGGCUUGGACUGGAGGUUAUUGCCGGCUUGUCAUGAGUCUGGCUCCUCUUGAAUUCAUUACUUGAACCCUUGUGGAUCGGCUACUCGGUGUGAUAAUUGUCUACGCCGUUGCUGUGAAGCUUUCAAACACUUUGUUGUGUUGAGGGAUUUGCUUCUAACGUCCUUCAAUGGACAAUUUUUGACCUCUGACCUSAAAUCAGGUAGGAUACCCGCUGAACUUAAGCAUAUCA